CAUGGUCCAGACUAAUCCCAGAAAUUUGGAGUCACUUGUAUAUGAGUAACUAGAAUACUACAAGUAUGGUUUGAACAAAUACAAUUGUUUGAAAUGAGAUAAACAGUAAAGACAAGAAUAGAAGAGGACUUUAGGGAUUUCGAACGCUAAUAGCUCUACCUGAAGUCUCUAUUGUAGAUAUGAUUCGAGCAUAAGCACUACUAGACAUUGCUGGGACCAAUACCAAUAUAUGCACAAAAAGUAGAGAAGUAUAGCAUGAGUAAAACUGACCCAAUACGUAAGUGUCAAGCCUAACCCCGACGAGGUAGUGAUGAAGCUAUGAUAAGACACCUACUAAAAUUCAUGCCCAGACAUACAGGUAAAGUAGCAAAAGUAACAAAUAAGGCAUCUAAAAUAAUAAUUGGAAGGGAACAUGUAGAAAGACGAGUACAAUAACAAACGACAAGAACAAAAUAUCUACGCAGUGUUUUUCGAAAUAAACAACAAUGCACCCAAUUAAAUCACCAAUGCAAAAAUCAAAUAAUGCAGUGAAAUCAACAAUGAAAUGACAUCACCCAUCCUCACCAUAUAAUAAUGAUAUGAUAUAUGAAAUGACAUGACAUCGCCUUUCAUGCUUUUACUAUCUCCCUCACAUGGUAUGAUAAAAAAUAAUAAUAAAUCAAGUGCACAAUAUCAUCAUUCAUGCGUUGAUCCUCUAAAUAUCUCCAAUUAAUGAUAGUAUAUACAAAUGAGGCAUGGCAAUACCCUUCGAGCUUUUCAUUCUUCUUCACCAUACACAACACUAAUCCAAAAUAGCAACACAAUAUGGGAAGCAAAUUUUGAUUUAAUCAUAGAGUUAUGAUGACCAAACUUUACUUUCAAAAUCCCAGUAACUUCAAAAUAAAUAUUAAAUAAGUGAACAAUUAAAGAAAUAAUAAUCUAACGAAAGCAUGUAAACUAUAGUCAAUGAAAAAACAUAAUACAAUAAAAUAAUUUCCACCUGCAUACUUUAACCCAAUGACAACACAUAUAUACUCGUCACCUUACAUAUACGUUGUUCCCAACACAUAAUUCAUGUAGCAAAUAGACCAACAAGUCCUAAUUCCUCAAAUCAAAAUUCACCACGAUACUUACCUUACUCUGCAACCUAAUUAAUGCUCAACCAUGGCUUUUCCUUUAGAAUUAGCCUCCAAAUAAAUCAAAUCUAGCCAAAUAUAGUUCAAAUAAUUCAAAAUAAGCUUUAGAAACUACCCACGAGUGAAAAGAUUUAUCUUUAUUAAAUUUCAAAAAAAUUCAACAAAAGCUAACCCCGGUCUUGCUUGGUCAAAACUCGAGAUUCGAAUCAAAACUCGAUUAUCCAUUCAUCCCCGAGCCUAGUUUUGUG
This 1363-nucleotide long non-coding RNA is filed under the name Nicotiana benthamiana. Its description in RNAcentral is "long non-coding RNA (NBEN_LNC019929)". The record is from RNAcentral. Lineage: Eukaryota; Viridiplantae; Streptophyta; Magnoliopsida; Solanales; Solanaceae.